GUCGAGCGAUGAGAUCACUUCGGUGAAGGAUUAGCGGCGAACGGGUGAGGAACACGUGAAGAAUCUGCCUUCAACUCUGGGAUAACUCCGGGAAACCGGGGCUAAUACCGGAUAUGAGCCUUGAUCGCAUGAUCGGGGCUGGAAAGUUUUUCGGUUGAAGAUGACUUCGCGGCCUAUCAGCUUGUUGGUGAGGUAAUGGCUCACCAAGGCGACGGCGGGUAGCCGGCCUGAGAGGGCGACCGGCCACACUGGGACUGAGACACGGCCCAGACUCCUACGGGAGGCAGCAGUGGGGAAUAUUGGGCAAUGGAGGAAACUCUGACCCAGCGACGCCGCGUGCGGGAUGAAGGCCUUCGGGUUGUAAACCGCUUUCAGCAGGGAAUAAGCGCAAGUGAAGGUACCUGCAGAAGAAGCACCGGCUAACUAUGUGCCAGCAGCCGCGGUAAUACAUAGGGUGCAAGCGUUGUCCGGAAUUAUUGGGCGUAAAGAGCUCGUAGGUGGUUUGUUACGUCGGUUGUGAAAUUCAGGGGCUCAACCCCUGACUUGCAGCCGAUACGGGCAAGCUAGAGUUUGG
RNAcentral lists this ribosomal RNA (574 nucleotides) under uncultured Actinomycetes bacterium. RNAcentral describes it as "bacterial SSU rRNA". It matches the Rfam family "Bacterial small subunit ribosomal RNA", at positions 61 to 651 of the family's 1533-position model. The record is from RNAcentral. Lineage: Bacteria; Bacillati; Actinomycetota; Actinomycetes.